CAAAAGAGUACUCAUGCAUGAAAUAGAAAAGAUCAAACAUAAAUAAAAUCUAACCAUGUUUUUUUCUUUUUUUACUCCCAGCCUCCAACUCUGUAUUUGGCCACAAAGAUGCACCCAGCGCACAACAGCACUUCAGUGGACCCCACGAGCCGUGGAACAGACUCCACCGGACUCCGCCGUCCUUCCCCACCCCACCUCCCUGGCUCAAACCUGGAGACCCUGAACGGAGCGCGUCGGUCAGCUCCCACGAGAGAGAACGAGAACGAGACAGAGAACGAGAACGGGACAGAGAGAGAGAACGUGACCUGGACAAGAGGGAUUCUUCAGUCAACAAGGAUGAUAAAGAGCGGGAACCUGCGGAAAAAAGGCACCAGAAUCAUCCAUCCCGAUCCUGUUACCCCCUCACGCUGAUGAGUCACACCCGAUCAUCCGAGCCCUCCCGGAACCACAUCCCUUCUAGUGAGUCUCGGGACAAGGGACAAAGCCCAAAGAUCGCGAGAGAGAACGAGAGCACUCAGACUGGAAGGACUCCAACACCGAUGAGCACAAGGUGAAAGGAGAAUCACCACAGUGACAAGGACGCUCCCGUCAUCCACAAUGGCCGGGUUUCUGAAGACAAGCCGGCCAAUCGAGUUACAGCGUCACCCUACAUGCGGGCAGGUGGCAUAGAUCGGGGUGAACGGCGGGCUGACUCGAGAUGUUCUGGAGAAGAAGGCCGAUAUCACCUAUGAGAAGAAAAACAGUGAGAUAAAGGUGAAAGAAGAGAGGAAAGAGGAGCAGGAUGGUUCCACAGAAAGAUCCCCGGAACAAAGGUCCACACCGCAAGCACCUCCUCCUCCUCUUCCUCCUCCUGCUGCUCUCCACCCUCCAUCUUCAAUGCCAUUACCCAUGGGCAUGGCCAGCAUGCACCCCAUAAACAGUAUCAGUAGUCUGGAGAGGACUCGUAUGGUGCCCCCCUUCAUGGGUAUCAGUCCCAUCCCAGGGGCAGAGAGGUUUCCCUAUCCCGCCUUUCACUGGGAUCCCAUGAGGGACCCUUACCGGGGACUUGAUAUCCACCGGAGAGAUCCAUUAGCUCGGGAUCUGCUCCUGCGGAAUGACCCUCUGCACCGGUUAGCAAGCGCCGCGGAUUUAUGAAGCAGAACGCUCAUACCGGACCGUGAGCCUCAUGACUUUAACCGAGACCACCCUCACGGGCUGGCCUUGGAACAGCGGCGGGAACAAGAGCGAGCACACCUAGAGGAGCGGGAACGUCUUCACUUGCUCAGAGAAGACUACGAGCAGGGACGUCUGCACCCGAUGCAUCACCCCGCUUUAGACGGACACCUCCCUCACCCGGGUCUC
This 1341-nucleotide long non-coding RNA is filed under the name Carassius auratus (goldfish). RNAcentral describes it as "lncRNA (ENSCARG00000065269.1)". The record is from RNAcentral. Lineage: Eukaryota; Metazoa; Chordata; Actinopteri; Cypriniformes; Cyprinidae.